CCUACGGGAGGCAGCAGUCGAGAAUCAUUCACAAUGGGGGAAACCCUGAUGGUGCGACGCCGCGUGGGGGAAUGAAGGUCUUCGGAUUGUAAACCCCUGUCAUGUGGGAGCAAAUUAAAAAGAUAGUACCACAAGAGGAAGAGACGGCUAACUCUGUGCCAGCAGCCGCGGUAAUACAGAGGUCUCAAGCGUUGUUCGGAAUCACUAGGCGUAAGGCGUGCGUAGGCUGUUUCGUAAGUCGUGUGUGAAAGGCGCGGGCUCAACCCGCGGACGGCACAUGAUACUGCGAGACUAGAGUAAUGGAGGGGGAACCGGAAUUCUCGGUGUAGCAGUGAAAUGCGUAGAUAUCGAGAGGAACACUCGUGGCGAAGGCGGGUUCCUGGACAUUAACUGACGCUGAGGCACGAAGGCCAGGGGAGCGAAAGGGAUUAGAUACCCGUGUAGUC
Molecule: ribosomal RNA, 446 nt
Filed under: uncultured bacterium
Lineage: Bacteria
Description: partial 16S ribosomal RNA
Rfam family: Bacterial small subunit ribosomal RNA
Source: RNAcentral